This 773-nucleotide ribosomal RNA is filed under the name uncultured Neocallimastigales. RNAcentral's name for it is "partial large subunit ribosomal RNA". It matches the Rfam family "Eukaryotic large subunit ribosomal RNA", at positions 23 to 645 of the family's 3401-position model. The record is from RNAcentral. Lineage: Eukaryota; Fungi; Neocallimastigomycota; Neocallimastigomycetes; Neocallimastigales.
AGAGAGAGACAUGCGCGCAUAUCAAUAAGCGGAGGAAAAGAAACUAACAAGGAUUCCCUUAGUAACGGCGAGUGAAGCGGGAAGAGCUCAAAUUUGAAAUCUUCAAGGUUUUACCUUGACGAAUUGUAGUUUAAAGAAGUGUUUUCUGCUGAAGUUUUGGUAAAAGUUCUUUGGAAUAGGACAUCAUAGAGGGUGAGAAUCCCGUAUUUGACCAUUAUUUUCAGCUUUGUGAUACACUUUCAAAGAGUCGGAUUGUUUGGGAAUGCAGUCCAAAAUGGGUGGUAAAUUUCAUCUAAAGCUAAAUAUUGGCGAGAGACCGAUAGCGAACAAGUACCGUGAGGGAAAGAUGAAAAGAACUUUGAAAAGAGAGUUAAACAGUACGUGAAAUUGUCAAAAGGGAAGCGUUUGACACCAGUGUUGUUUUCUCGAAAAUCAAUUAAAAAUGGCUCGAUUUUGUAUUGUUGAGACCUUAAAAGCUCACUGUACAUUUUUCGUGUCUUUUUAAUGCACUUUUCGUUUAACAAGUCAACAUCAGUUUCUUUUGUUGUAGAAGGGUCAUUGGAAGGUGGCUUUCUUUUCGGAGAAAGUGUUUAUAGCCUUUGGCCUCUGCAAUCGGAGAGACUGAGGUCUGCAGCGUAGACUCUUCGGGGUUAGAUACAUUUGUGCUAAGUUAUAGCUUUUUAUAGACAACUUGUUGACUAUAAUUAGUCUUGUAGCUUACUCGCUUAUGCUAUUUUACCUACGCUUAGGAUGUUGAAGUCAUCGUAUCGCGC